Sapajus apella (tufted capuchin) is the source of this 889-nucleotide long non-coding RNA. RefSeq lists it as uncharacterized. The transcript is spliced from 2 exons. NCBI's taxonomy places the organism in Eukaryota, Metazoa, Chordata, Mammalia, Primates, Cebidae. The record is from RefSeq and is a predicted model, not a curated record.
UCCAUGUUGGUCAGGCUGUUCUCGAACUCCCAACCUCAGAUGAUCCACCCACCUCAGCCUCCCAAAGUUCUGGGAUUAUAGGCAUGAGCCACCACACCUGGCCAUAUUUUUAUUUUUACAUGUGAAAACAUAUACUCAAAGUAGAAUGUAUCAAGAUUAUCUUAACCUCUUAAGGAUCCUCAAAAGUUUACAUCAAAAAGCCUGUUUUCAGCCUUUCAAGGAUUUAUUUGUAGAACUGGAAGUGUUUACUGGAAGAUGAUGAUAUGGCCAAGCCAAAGAAGGGAACCUGCAGUGAAGAGUACAGGUGUCUCUUGACCUACAUAUCCCAGAACUGUAAGAAAAACGUCCGGAUGGGCAUCAGAUAUCUAGUCCAGUCCUUGGACAAAAGUCUGGGCUUUGGAAACCAGGGGCAAGAGGUGAUGAAAACUAAUCUAUAGUAUUUAAAAUUCCCACCCCCCUAUUAAGACUCCACCCUCCCACAUCCCCCAAGCGUGAUUUUGCACAACAAGUUAAAUAAAAGUAAACUGUUUAUUAAAAGAUACAGCAAAGGUACAGAUACAGAGAUACAUACAAAGAUACAUAUAUAUAUAUAUUUACAUAUAUAUACAGUCUUGCUGUUUUCAUGUGCACUAUAUUUAGCAGCACAUUAUUUAAUCAGGCGGCAUUUUAAUGGGGUUGUUUUGACACUUGGCAUUAUUAAGAUACAACUAUAGCCCCAUAGAAAUUUCAAGGUGUGAAUUCCACUUCUCCGACUUUUAAUAGUAGCAAAGAGGGGAAGGAGAAGGGAAUGGAGUACCAAGGCUGAGCAUUAGGUUAAACACAAGAAUUUAAAAGGGCCAAGGUAGCAAAGGGAAGGAAAAAUAAUAACUAAAGGCUAUCUGACAAACAA